RNAcentral lists this small RNA (132 nucleotides) under Escherichia coli. Its description in RNAcentral is "RtT sRNA". It matches the Rfam family "RtT RNA". From Rfam's summary of the family: This family represents a bacterial cis-regulatory element known as RtT RNA. Lineage: Bacteria; Pseudomonadati; Pseudomonadota; Gammaproteobacteria; Enterobacterales; Enterobacteriaceae. RNAcentral also lists the same sequence under 1 other name. The record is from RNAcentral.
GUUUGCACUCAUCGGGGAAGGGUGAGAACCUUCGACUAAGGUUCGAUUCGAGCGAAAGCGAGAGAACGUUGCCACAGACAACGGCCCGAAGGGUGAGGAGCGAAGCGACGAAUAAUCCUUCCCCCACCACCA